RNAcentral lists this ribosomal RNA (454 nucleotides) under uncultured Ruminococcus sp. RNAcentral's name for it is "partial 16S ribosomal RNA". It matches the Rfam family "Bacterial small subunit ribosomal RNA", at positions 341 to 792 of the family's 1533-position model. Lineage: Bacteria; Bacillati; Bacillota; Clostridia; Eubacteriales; Oscillospiraceae. The record is from RNAcentral.
ACGGAAGGCAGCAGUGAGGAAUAUUGGUCAAUGGACGGAAGUCUGAACCAGCCAUGCCGCGUGCAGGAAUAAGGCCCUAUGGGUCGUAAACUGCUUUUGUGGUGGAGCAAUAAGGCGUACGUGUACGUCGAUGAGAGUACAUCACGAAUAAGCAUCGGCUAACUCCGUGCCAGCAGCCGCGGUAAUACGUAGGGAGCAAGCGUUAUCCGGAAUUACUGGGUGUAAAGGGAGUGUAGGCGGGACUGUAAGUCAGAUGUGAAAUAUGCCGGCUCAACUGGCAGACUGCAUUUGAAACUGCGGUUCUUGAGUGAAGUAGAGGUAAGCGGAAUUCCUAGUGUAGCGGUGAAAUGCGUAGAUAUUAGGAGGAACAUCAGUGGCGAAGGCGGCUUACUGGGCUUUAACUGACGCUGAGGCUCGAAAGCGUGGGGAGCAAACAGGAUUAGAUACCCUGGUA